UACGAAGGGUGCAACCGUUGCUCGGAAUCAUUGGGCGUAAAGCGCACGUAGGCGGCUUCGCAAGUCGGAUGUGAAAUCCCUCGGCUCAACCAAGGACGUGCAUCCGAAACUGCGAAGCUUGAGUACAGAAGAGGAUCGCGGAAUUCCCGGUGUAGAGGUGAAAUUCGUAGAUAUCGGGAGGAACACCAGUGGCGAAGGCGGCGAUCUGGGCUGAUACUGACGCUGAGGUGCGAAAGCGUGGGGAGCAAACAGG
RNAcentral lists this ribosomal RNA (253 nucleotides) under uncultured bacterium. RNAcentral's name for it is "partial 16S ribosomal RNA". It matches the Rfam family "Bacterial small subunit ribosomal RNA", at positions 524 to 776 of the family's 1533-position model. The record is from RNAcentral.